RNAcentral lists this ribosomal RNA (497 nucleotides) under uncultured bacterium. Its description in RNAcentral is "partial 16S ribosomal RNA". It matches the Rfam family "Bacterial small subunit ribosomal RNA", at positions 28 to 507 of the family's 1533-position model. The record is from RNAcentral.
GAUGAACGCUGGCGGCGUGCCUAAUACAUGCAAGUCGAGCGAACGGACGAGAAGCUUGCUUCUCUGAUGUUAGCGGCGGACGGGUGAGUAACACGUGGAUAACCUACCUAUAAGACUGGGAUAACUUCGGGAAACCGGAGCUAAUACCGGAUAAUAUUUUGAACCGCAUGGUUCAAAAGUGAAAGACGGUCUUGCUGUCACUUAUAGAUGGAUCCGCGCUGCAUUAGCUAGUUGGUAAGGUAACGGCUUACCAAGGCAACGAUGCAUAGCCGACCUGAGAGGGUGAUCGGCCAAACUGGAACUGAGACACGGUCCAGACUCCUACGGGAGGCAGCAGUAGGGAAUCUUCCGCAAUGGGCGAAAGCCUGACGGAGCAACGCCGCGUGAGUGAUGAAGGUCUUCGGAUCGUAAAACUCUGUUAUUAGGGAAGAAAAUAUGUGUAAGUAACUGUGCACAUCUUGACGGUACCUAAUCAGAAAGCCACUGCUAACUACGUG